GAAAGAAUUACCUAAAAAUAAUGAGGUCAACAAUAUACACAUAUAUAUCUGUCAUCUCCAUUUUUGUUUCUCCCCCUCUCUCAUUUUCAUCCCUCUCAAACUCUUUUUUUUUUUUUUUUCCCUCCCACUCUCUCCC
RNAcentral lists this non-coding RNA (136 nucleotides) under Amorphochlora amoebiformis. The record is from RNAcentral. Lineage: Eukaryota; Cercozoa; Chlorarachniophyceae.